This 468-nucleotide ribosomal RNA is filed under the name uncultured bacterium. RNAcentral's name for it is "partial 16S ribosomal RNA". It matches the Rfam family "Bacterial small subunit ribosomal RNA", at positions 28 to 507 of the family's 1533-position model. The record is from RNAcentral.
GACGAACGCUGGCGGCGUGCUUAACACAUGCAAGUCGAACGGAAAGGCCCUGCUUUUGUGGGGUGCUCGAGUGGCGAACGGGUGAGUAACACGUGAGUAACCUGCCCUUGACUUUGGGAUAACUUCAGGAAACUGGGGCUAAUACCGGAUAGGAGCUCCUGCUGCAUGGUGGGGGUUGGAAAGUUUCGGCGGUUGGGGAUGGACUCGCGGCUUAUCAGCUUGUUGGUGGGGUAGUGGCUUACCAAGGCUUUGACGGGUAGCCGGCCUGAGAGGGUGACCGGCGACAUUGGGACUGAGAUACGGCCCAGACGCCUACGGGAGGCAGCAGUGGGGAAUAUUGCACAAUGGGCGGAAGCCUGAUGCAGAAACGCCGCGUGCGGGAUGACGGCCUUCGGGUUGUAAACCGCUGUCGCCGGUGACGAAGCGGGAGUGACGGUAAUGGGUAAAGAAGCACCGGCUAACUACGUG